UACGAAGGGGGCUAGCGUUGCUCGGAAUCACUGGGCGUAAAGCGCACGUAGGCGGAUUCCUAAGUCGGUGGUGAAAUCCUGGAGCUCAACUCCAGAACUGCCUCCGAUACUGAGAGUCUCCGAGUCCGGGAGAGGUGAGUGGAACUGCGAGUGUAGAGGUGAAAUUCGUAGAUAUUCGCAAGAACACCAGUGGCGAAGGCGGCUCACUGGCCCGGUACUGACGCUGAGGUGCGAAAGCGUGGGGAGCGAACAGG
This 254-nucleotide ribosomal RNA is filed under the name uncultured bacterium. RNAcentral's name for it is "partial 16S ribosomal RNA". It matches the Rfam family "Bacterial small subunit ribosomal RNA", at positions 524 to 776 of the family's 1533-position model. The record is from RNAcentral.